This 70-nucleotide transfer RNA is filed under the name Lepturacanthus savala (Savalani hairtail). RNAcentral's name for it is "tRNA-Ile". It matches the Rfam family "tRNA". From Rfam's summary of the family: Transfer RNA (tRNA) molecules are approximately 80 nucleotides in length. Their secondary structure includes four short double-helical elements and three loops (D, anti-codon, and T loops). The record is from RNAcentral. Lineage: Eukaryota; Metazoa; Chordata; Actinopteri; Scombriformes; Trichiuridae.
GGAGCCGUGCCUGAAAUUAAGGGCCACUUUGAUAGAGUGGAACAUGUGGGUUAAAAUCCCCCCGACUCCU